CUGAAUAACUUGUGGAGAGCGGCGCCAAAUGCAGUCGUGAAACGAGAAAAAUAGUCAGGCUAUCACUCCACAAGUAGCUAAAGGGAGUGUGGCGCCGGGUGAGCGCUCCCCCCUCACAAUCUUCGCACAGUGGUUGCGCCUAUUCGGAGUCUGCGCAAUCGCGCCUCCCCAACCGUAGCCUUGGCCGCCUAGACACCCUCCGCGUCGUCCCACGCCGCUCCCCUCCCCCACUGUCGCGAAGCUCCCGCCCGAGCGGACCACGUGCCGGGAACCGGGCGGGGAGAGACCACUCUUGCACCCCUUCCGGCCUCUUCGAACACGCCGGGCUGCAGCCCAUGGUCCCUGGGCCGGGUCGCCUCAGAACUUUCUUAGAUAAGACAACCACAAAGACGCACCCCAGUUCAACGCCAGGGGACACAGAGCUCAUUACGCAAUGGGUAAGACGCAAGGUUGCCUUUGGGAAAAAACGGACCGAGAGUGUUGGCAGCUGUUUUUGAAAGAUGCUGUGUGACAUACUAGGCAACAUCAUGCCUACGGACUCGUGGCCCUUUUCUCCGAGCGGUGCUUCUCCUCCCGCUGUGUGUUCAAUCUGUUUAAUUUUAGGCCUCUGAGAACCCUGGACUGAGACUUUACCGCCAAUGGAUUGGUUGGGGACCCCAUCAUCUUGUGUGACCCUUGCUGCCACCCAGUGCAGCCAUCCAGACGAGAGGUGGCACCUUCCUAUGGACCGUGUUGGCAAAGAAGAGAAUACAGAUGAAAAAGGACCCUCCUCUUGCCUUCUGUCCCAGAGCCGCUUACAGAGAAUGGUUGAUUUUAUGGUCUCCUUGCUCUUCAGGUCCCUCCGGAUGUCACUUUUAUGCUCUGGUGCUGGGAUCUGUGCAUGUGUAAUAGUUGACUUCUUCCCCCUCCCUGCCCCGAGACCUUCUAAGUCCCAUACGGUGAGAUUCCCAAGGCAGUAAAAACUUUCCGAGGAAAUUCAACAAGUCUCAUCCCAUUCAAGGAAUAGAACAUAGGUCAAAACUCAUCAAGUUGUAUACUUUGACUACGUACAGUUUGUUGUACCUCAAUUAAUAUCUCCCUCAGGUGGAAACUAGAGUACCGUGUACUCUAAUGUAUGUGUCCAUUAGUCAUGCUUAUAAUAUGAAUAGGUUUUAAUUCACUGGUUGGAGGAUAAAAACGAUUUCACAUUUCUUUUUAAGGGACUCCCAUUCCCUCUUUCCUUUGUUCUCUUUAGACUCCUUAUUGUGAUAAAUUUAAGACACUGAGGGUACAUUGUCCACAAGGGCCACACCUACCAUUGUGAAGAAGUCUAAUGACCCAUUAGAAGUGGACCCUUUGCAGCUCUUCCCGCCACUGGGCCCUCAAGGUGCUGGGUAAGGAAGGCUCUGGCAUCAACCACAAAUCAUGGCCAGGAUGAGCCUUCUCUCAGUUUAUUCUGAAGCGUGCACAUAAUCUGUUUCCUUUAACUCUAUGCAGAUUAUUUGUUCCAUGUAAACAACCAAGGACACUAAUGGGCUACAAAGCAUUGCUGUUAGUUAAUAAUAUAAUGCAAUAUCAAAUAACCCUAAAGGAGGGUCACCACCUAAAUUUCCUUGAACUAAGAACUUUUCUCUCUCUCUCUUUUUUCUUUUUGAGGGAAGGACCUGACUAACUCUAUACUUGAUGUUUGUUGUUCUCUAUAAUCCUUAAAACCCUAGGCUGUAGCAUCUGUCACAGAUUUAAGGUGACCUCAAACUAAUCUCUGAGGACAGUGGACAGUUACUAGCUAGCCCUAUCUUUGUACAAAUAAUUCCCUUAAGUUUCCCAAAAUGAAUGGCAGCCAACCCAAUGGCAUGGUGUCUUCAUCUCUAGGAACUAACACUGCCAUCAUUCCCUUGCUGAAAAGUAAAUAUUUUAAGAACUGUUCUGUAAAGAAGCAUCACACACAGCAGAGUUAGAAAUUGGGAAGUGGCCUUGGGAUUGGCAGAGCUCUCUGUACCUUCAAGGGACAGAAUUCAGAGGUCCUCACGAAGAGUUUCCCAGAACCUGUCCCAUCCCAGUCGUCCUUCCCCAGGGGAAGUCGCUGCAUGGAUGCCAAAUUCGAAGUGCUGAGCCAGAAGUGGAGCGGAACCUAGUUAAUGAGUAAGGGGAGUCCAGUGGUCAGCAGCCAAAGUUCUUCAGCUCCUUAAUGUUUCCAGUAUUAAAGAUAAAAACAAACAAAGGCAGUAGGGAGACUUGUCAGGUUGAACUAGCCGUUGCAGGGAGUCCCGCUCGUGCCUCGGUGGGCUGCUUCCAGAUGAGUUCAGUUGGCCGAUAAGAGGAAGGAGUUCCUCUGAAGUGAUUGCAGGGCUGAAAAUGUGUGUGUGCCACCAUUUGUCAUCCAAAGUUGCCUAAAAAUAAAGGGACCAUGUGAA
Long non-coding RNA from Felis catus (domestic cat), 2393 nucleotides. RefSeq lists it as uncharacterized. The record is from RefSeq and is a predicted model, not a curated record. The transcript is spliced from 2 exons. NCBI's taxonomy places the organism in Eukaryota, Metazoa, Chordata, Mammalia, Carnivora, Felidae.